AAUGAACGCUGGCGGCGUGCUUAACACAUGCAAGUCGAACGGUAACAGAAGCAGCUUGCUGCUUGCUGACGAGUGGCGCACGGGUGAGUAAUAUAUAGAUAACGUGCCUCUUAGUCUGGGAUAGCCAUUGGAAACGAUGAUUAAUACUAGAUACUCCUUCUCAUUCUAAUAUGAGUCGGGAAAGUUUUUCGCUAAGAGAUCGGUCUAUAUCCCAUCAGCUAGUUGGUAGUGUAAGAGACUACCAAGGCAAUGACGGGUAGCGGGUUUGAGAGGAUGAUCCGCCACACUGGUACUGAGACACGGACCAG
Molecule: ribosomal RNA, 308 nt
Filed under: uncultured Sulfurimonas sp.
Lineage: Bacteria; Pseudomonadati; Campylobacterota; Epsilonproteobacteria; Campylobacterales; Sulfurimonadaceae
Description: bacterial SSU rRNA
Rfam family: Bacterial small subunit ribosomal RNA
Source: RNAcentral